This 248-nucleotide ribosomal RNA is filed under the name uncultured Anaerovorax sp. Its description in RNAcentral is "partial 16S ribosomal RNA". It matches the Rfam family "Bacterial small subunit ribosomal RNA", at positions 524 to 772 of the family's 1533-position model. Lineage: Bacteria; Bacillati; Bacillota; Clostridia; Peptostreptococcales; Anaerovoracaceae. The record is from RNAcentral.
UACGUAGGGGGCAAGCGUUAUCCGGAAUGAUUGGGCGUAAAGAGUACGUAGGUGGUUUGGUAAGCGCAGGGUGAAAGGCAGUGGCUUAACCAUUGUAAGCCUUGCGAACUGCGAGACUUGAGUGCAGGAGAGGAAAGCGGAAUUCCUAGUGUAGCGGUGAAAUGCUUAGAUAUUAGGAGGAACACCAGUGGCGAAGGCGGCUUUCUGGACUGUAACUGACACUGAGGUACGAAAGCGUGGGGAGCAAA